CGUAGUCUCGCACAGAUGCAUAUCAAUAAGCGGAGGAAAAGAAACUAACAAGGAUUCCCUCAGUAACGGCGAGUGAAGCGGGAAGAGCUCAAGUUUGAAAUCUUGAAAGGUCACCUUUCACGAAUUGUAGUUUAAAGAAGUGUUUUCUGUUACGAUCGUAAUAUAAGUUCUUUGGAAUAGGACAUCACAGAGGGUGAGAAUCCCGUCUAUGAUUGCGAUUUGUAGCUUUGUGAUACACUUUCAAAGAGUCGGGUUGUUUGGGAAUGCAGCCCAAAACGGGAGGUAAAUUUCUUCUAAGGCUAAAUAUUGGCGAGAGACCGAUAGCGAACAAGUACCGUGAGGGAAAGAUGAAAAGAACUUUGAAAAGAGAGUUAAAUAGUACGUGAAAUUGUCAAAAGGGAAGCGUUUAACACCAGUGUUGUUUUCUGAAAAUCAACCUCUGUUAGCUUUAUGCAUGUUUGUUUAGACCUAAUCAGCUAUCUUGCAUGUUCUAUUGUUUGCAGUGGUGCACUUUUCAGUUUACAGGUCAACAUCAGUUUUUUUUACCGUAAAAAAGUUAAAGAAAGGUAGCUCAUGGCUCCGGUCGUGAGUGUUAUAGUCUUUUUCCUAUGCGGUAGGAGAGACUGAGGUCUGCAGUGUAGGCUAUUUGGCUAGAUACUCAGGUGCUAUGUGAUACCAUUUCAUAAACAACUUGUUGAUUAUGUUUUGUCUAUUGCAUACUCGCUUGUACUAUCAUACCUACGCUUAGGAUGUUGAAGAUGUAGCACAUCAU
RNAcentral lists this ribosomal RNA (772 nucleotides) under uncultured Neocallimastigales. RNAcentral describes it as "partial large subunit ribosomal RNA". It matches the Rfam family "Eukaryotic large subunit ribosomal RNA", at positions 24 to 635 of the family's 3401-position model. Lineage: Eukaryota; Fungi; Neocallimastigomycota; Neocallimastigomycetes; Neocallimastigales. The record is from RNAcentral.